Molecule: ribosomal RNA, 253 nt
Filed under: uncultured bacterium
Lineage: Bacteria
Description: partial 16S ribosomal RNA
Rfam family: Bacterial small subunit ribosomal RNA
Source: RNAcentral
UACAGAGGUCCCAAGCGUUGUUCGGAUUCACUGGGCGUAAAGGGUGCGUAGGUGGCCAGGUAAGUUCGGUGUGAAAGCUCGGAGCUUAACUCCGAAAUGUCAUUGAAUACUAUCUGGCUUGAGGGUCGGAGGGGAGACUGGAAUUCUCGGUGUAGCAGUGAAAUGCGCAGAUAUCAGGAGGAACACCGGUGGCGAAGGCGGGUCUCUGGGCCGAUACUGACGCUGAGGAGCGAAAGCGUGGGGAGCAAACAGG